RNAcentral lists this transfer RNA (87 nucleotides) under Planctomicrobium piriforme. It matches the Rfam family "tRNA". From Rfam's summary of the family: Transfer RNA (tRNA) molecules are approximately 80 nucleotides in length. Their secondary structure includes four short double-helical elements and three loops (D, anti-codon, and T loops). The record is from Rfam by way of RNAcentral. Lineage: Bacteria; Pseudomonadati; Planctomycetota; Planctomycetia; Planctomycetales; Planctomycetaceae.
GGAGAGAUGGCAGAGCGGCCGAUUGUGCAGCACUGGAAAUGCUGUGUGGCAGAAAUGUCACCGGGGGUUCGAAUCCCCCUCUCUCCG